This is a long non-coding RNA of Saccostrea cuccullata (small rock oyster), 587 nucleotides long. RefSeq lists it as uncharacterized. NCBI's taxonomy places the organism in Eukaryota, Metazoa, Mollusca, Bivalvia, Ostreida, Ostreidae. The transcript is spliced from 4 exons. The record is from RefSeq and is a predicted model, not a curated record.
AGGGAGGUUUGCCUAGAAAAGGCCCUUGAUUUUGCAAUAAACAGUAAAGCUUGCAAUUUUACUUUAGAAGAAGCCAAAGAUUUGCUUGAAUCAGAAACUGGCAUUUGUUCUAAAAAUGUAGAAUAAAAAUCAACAAUUUGGAAAAUGUAGCAUUGGAUCACAACAAGCAUAGAAGUUCUCUCGACUUACGCUUCUAUAAACUGACAUCGUUUGCACUUAGUUUCAAUGGUUUAGGUAAAUAUUUUACGAGAAUCCACAGAUGUAGUGCUUAUAUUGAAAACAGCACCAUGGAGAUGAUUUGUAAACCCGAUUUUAAAAAUGCAGUCCACAUGUCAAAAGAUUUAUGUUUAUCAACUGCUGAUUGUCAGGAUGGGUCUAAGACAUGUUUGCUAUCAACGAAAGGACAAAUUGGCGUUUUUAAAUGCAAACCUGGGUUUAUAGGGAUCGAAAACACGUGUCUAAAAGAAAAUGUAAAAUUCAAUGAAACGUGUCAGCGAAAUGAGCAGUGUUCAGUUGUCUUAGGAUCGGCUUGUCAUAACAAUACAUGUAGUUGUCGUCAAGGAUAUGUCCUCUGGAAUGAUUCGGAA